Molecule: long non-coding RNA, 621 nt
Organism: Gorilla gorilla gorilla (western lowland gorilla)
Lineage: Eukaryota; Metazoa; Chordata; Mammalia; Primates; Hominidae
Exons: 3
Source: RefSeq, a predicted model, not a curated record
AGGUGAGGCACUGGCUCUGGGCAACUUUCAGACGGGGCUUCAAGAUGAUCUGGAGGUUUCAGAGGAUUGUCACUUUAGAGAAAAAAGUAACAGACUUGGUCUCCAAAGACUGGUGACUCCAAGGUGUGGCUCAACACCCAGCUGAAGAGGCGGUCAAUGCGAACGGCAUCAGCCCAUGAACCGAGUGUGUCCUGCGUGCUGGCGCUGCGCUCUCCCACCAGCUGCUCCAGGCAGGCACUCCCAUCCAUUUUCCGAUGAGGAGGUGGACGUUUGGAGGCAGAGAGUCCAUGCUGAGAGCCUGCUGCAGACACGUUUGAAAGGUGGACCCCAGCCCUUGUCCCAGAAUGUCUCUUCCGUGGCUGGGUCUGCCCCAGAAGAACAGAAGCAAUGGCCUGGCAUCUGUUUCCAGCUCUGCUCCUUCCUUGAGGCUUCUGGCGGCUGUGAUCAAAAGGCAGCCCUCGCUGGGGGGAGUACGCAACAUCUUCAAUGACCUAAGAGCUCCUAGUAAAUGGGAACCAGUCACUUGGACCUCCCAGAACCCUCGCAAAACCUGAGUUUGACAGAAGAGGAAACGGAGACACUGUGACGAGCUGACUCAAAGACUGAGGACCACAAAGAAGG